Non-coding RNA from Peromyscus maniculatus bairdii (prairie deer mouse), 1159 nucleotides. NCBI's taxonomy places the organism in Eukaryota, Metazoa, Chordata, Mammalia, Rodentia, Cricetidae. The record is from RefSeq and is a predicted model, not a curated record.
GUGUUGCUAUCCUAAAGAAAAGUAGCAGAGGUAUACCCAGCCUGGCAGCUGCUGUGCCUCAGAGCAGUUCCCAUGAGGGAAAGAAAGACAAACAGAUCCCCUGUCAGUGGGAUCAUGGCUGAGAGCUGGGCUGAGAAGCAAGCCUUUCAGGAGGGUCCUUUCUCUGAACUCAUUGAAGCGCUUGGGUGUUAACCCCCCUGGAAAUACGUCAGAUGAAAGGAAGGAAGAAGAAUGGGGCUAGAAAACAACAAAACCCUAUGGGCGAGGACUGAGAGCUGGCUCACAUUCUCUCUCUUGCAAGAGGCUGCCAGCUGAAGCAACCCUCCAGCCUGAAUAAGAUUCUUCCCAAGGCAGACAUCUCUACUUCGACAUGGAGGUUUUUCUUUUACUCUAUCACCCUUCACUGACAUUUGAUUUUUUUUUUGCUUUUUCUGCAGGUGGCAUUGUUUAGUUUUUCUUUAAAAUUCUUUAGUGAUAAAGGAAUGCUGUUGUGCAGAGGAACUGAACCAGGCUGUGCCAGUCAGCUUUUCCUCCCUGUGUCUAAGUACCUGAUCAAAUAGCUUUAAGGGUUGGAAAGAUUGAUUUUGUCUGAGAGUUUCAGCAGAAGCGGCCUUUUGGAUCACGGGAAUUUGACAUCAUUGUUUCUAGAUGAAGGCCCACUAGGCCAGCAGGCAGGGUAAAUAAGGACAGUGUGUGGGGAAGGGGUGAGGAGAAAGAGAGAGAGGAGGGAAGGAAGGAGGAGAGGAAUAGGGAGAAAAGAAAAAAGGAAGAGGAGGGGAGAGAAGAAUAGGAAGGGGAAAGAGGAAGGGGGAGUGAAGAAAAAAAGAAGAGGAAGGAAGAGGAGAGGAGAAAGGGAGGGGAGGAGAGGGAGAAGGAGAGGGAGAGGAGACAGUGAGGAAAGAAUGAAUAUGUCCAUCCAGGCUAUGCCCCCAGUGAUCUUCCAAGCAAGCCCCAUCUCCUAACUGUUUCUACCACCUGCUAAGAGCACCACCCUUGAGAACUAUAUGUGAGCCUAUGGGGGACUUUCUACGUUCCACGUGUAACAAAACUAUAGCAAGGUUUUUCUACAGAGCCAAGUUCAAUCCCAAGUUUUAAGUCUUCAUGCUCCACACGAAAGAAGAGAGGAAUAAAAGACCUCACGUUUGUAACUAAUCCUAAA